RNAcentral lists this long non-coding RNA (719 nucleotides) under Homo sapiens (human). Its description in RNAcentral is "non-protein coding lnc-HTR3D-2:1". Lineage: Eukaryota; Metazoa; Chordata; Mammalia; Primates; Hominidae. The record is from RNAcentral.
AUCCUUCCCCGUGCCUCUGCGAGACUGUCUGGAAUCUUCUCAGGGGUCGUGUUCCCUGGGGGAGGCAGCCGGGAGGCUUAACCGUGGCCCUGUGUUCGCACACAGUGCUGUUCGUAGGCAGAGCAGUCCCACCCUGCGUGGCCGUGUAGCUGCCAGAAAAGAUCGUGAAGGUCAUCGUAGCCCGCGUCUAACCCGUUGAGAGUCGUCAGGCCGGCCAGCCCCAGUUCUUAUCUGUUGUGGCAGAUACGAUUGCUUGCUCAUGGUUCGACCCUGCAGUCUGCGCAGAUACCGCCUUUCUCACUUUAACACCAACUGCCCAUCAAUGUCUCGCUGCCUGGUCUCUAGAUAAUAAAAUGCCAGGAUCACAGUCUUAGAAGUGGCAAGAGCCUUAGAAAUGUUAUGCUAACUCAUCUUCUUCUUUUUAUAAAUGAAACUGAAGCUCCCAGAAAGAUUGAUCCCUUUAUUUCUCUGUUUCAUCGGUACCUUCAGCAUCAUUAAAUAAAAGCCACUGUUGAGUUCUUCCCUACCUUGUAUCCGAUGCUUUACAUACCAUUCUUGUUUCCUUUAAUCUCCAUUACAGCCCUAUGAGUAGGUAUUAUGAGUUUUUUUUUUUUUUUAAGGAGUCUGGCUCUGUUGCCCAGGCUGGAGUGCAAUGGCGCGAUCUCGGCUCACUGCAGCGUCCGCCUUCCGGGUUCAAGCAGUUCUCCUUGCCUCAGCCU